This 324-nucleotide ribosomal RNA is filed under the name uncultured Actinomycetes bacterium. RNAcentral's name for it is "bacterial SSU rRNA". It matches the Rfam family "Bacterial small subunit ribosomal RNA", at positions 28 to 351 of the family's 1533-position model. The record is from RNAcentral. Lineage: Bacteria; Bacillati; Actinomycetota; Actinomycetes.
GACGAACGCUGGCGGCGUGCUUAACACAUGCAAGUCGAACGAUGAAGCUGGAGCUUGCUCCAGUGGAUUAGUGGCGAACGGGUGAGUAACACGUGAGCAAUCUGCCCUUGACUCUGGGAUAACUGCGGGAAACUGUAGCUAAUACCGGAUACGACACCUUGGGGCAUCCCGAGGUGUGGAAAGAAUUUCGGUCAAGGAUGAGCUCGCGGCCUAUCAGCUUGUUGGUGAGGUAAAAGCUCACCAAGGCGACGACGGGUAGCCGGCCUGAGAGGGUGAUCGGCCACAUUGGAACUGAGACACGGUCCAAACUCCUACGGGAGGCAG